CAGGCUUAACACAUGCAAGUCGAGGGGCAUCAGGAAGAAAGCUUGCUUUCUUUGCUGGCGACCGGCGCACGGGUGAGUAACACGUAUCCAACCUGCCCUUUACUCGGGGAUAGCCUUUCGAAAGAAAGAUUAAUACCCGAUAGCAUAAUGAUUCCGCAUGGUUUCAUUAUUAAAGGAUUCCGGUAAAGGAUGGGGAUGCGUUCCAUUAGGUUGUUGGUGAGGUAACGGCCCACCAAGCCUUCGAUGGAUAGGGGUUCUGAGAGGAAGGUCCCCCACAUUGGAACUGAGACACGGUCCAAACUCCUACGGGAGGCAGCAGUGAGGAAUAUUGGUCAAUGGGCGCUAGCCUGAACCAGCCAAGUAGCGUGAAGGAUGAAGGCUCUAUGGGUCGUAAACUUCUUUUAUAUAAGAAUAAAGUGCAGUAUGUAUACUGUUUUGUAUGUAUUAUAUGAAUAAGGAUCGGCUAACUCCGUGCCAGCAGCCGCGGUAAUACGGAGGAUCCGAGCGUUAUCCGGAUUUAUUGGGUUUAAAGGGAGCGUAGGUGGACUGGUAAGUCAGUUGUGAAAGUUUGCGGCUCAACCGUAAAAUUGCAGUUGAUACUGUCAGUCUUGAGUACAGUAGAGGUGGGCGGAAUUCGUGGUGUAGCGGUGAAAUGCUUAGAUAUCACGAAGAACUCCGAUUGCGAAGGCAGCUCACUGGACUGCAACUGACACUGAUGCUCGAAAGUGUGGGUAUCAAACAGGGUUAGAUACCCUGGUAGUCCACACAGUAAACGAUGAAUACUCGCUGUUUGCGAUAUACAGUAAGCGGCCAAGCGAAAGCAUUAAGUAUUCCACCUGGGGAGUACGCCGGCAACGGUGAAACUCAAAGGAAUUGACGGGGGCCCGCACAAGCGGAGGAACAUGUGGUUUAAUUCGAUGAUACGCGAGGAACCUUACCCGGGCUUAAAUUGCAGUGGAAUGAUGUGGAAACAUGUCAGUGAGCAAUCACCGCUGUGAAGGUGCUGCAUGGUUGUCGUCAGCUCGUGCCGUGAGGUGUCGGCUUAAGUGCCAUAACGAGCGCAACCCUUAUCUUUAGUUACUAACAGGUUAUGCUGAGGACUCUGGAGAGACUGCCGUCGUAAGAUGUGAGGAAGGUGGGGAUGACGUCAAAUCAGCACGGCCCUUACGUCCGGGGCUACACACGUGUUACAAUGGGGGGUACAGAAGGCAGCUAGCGGGUGACCGUAUGCUAAUCCCAAAAGCCUCUCUCAGUUCGGAUCGAAGUCUGCAACCCGACUUCGUGAAGCUGGAUUCGCUAGUAAUCGCGCAUCAGCCACGGCGCGGUGAAUACGUUCCCGGGCCUUGUACACACCGCCCGUCAGGCCAUGGGAGCCGGGGGUACCUGAAGUACGUAACCGCAAGGAUCGUCCUAGGGUAAAACUGGUGACUGGGGC
This 1435-nucleotide ribosomal RNA is filed under the name uncultured organism. RNAcentral's name for it is "16S ribosomal RNA". It matches the Rfam family "Bacterial small subunit ribosomal RNA". The record is from RNAcentral.